GUAACAGAGUGCACAGUGCGUCACAGAUUUAUAUUGAUCUACCAAUGUUUUAAUUAUCUGUUAAAACCUUAACUGUUCUAUAUUGUGAUCUGCGUCCUGGGCUCGUGCUAAGCAAUGCAUACAGUGCAUUCACUACCAGGAUCCUUCUCUUUCGGUUUGUUUUUGAAGAAUAGGUUUUGGUUACAUUGGUUGACAUCUGUGGGGAACAGGAA
Molecule: non-coding RNA, 212 nt
Organism: Pelobates cultripes (western spadefoot toad)
Lineage: Eukaryota; Metazoa; Chordata; Amphibia; Anura; Pelobatidae
Source: the annotation of a GenBank genome assembly